UUUCCGUAGGUGAACCUGCGGAAGGAUCAUUAAAAAAUGGACUCUUAUGAGUUCAUUAAUAUCCUACCCUUUGUGAAUUUGUUGUUUGAAAUAAUUUUUUCUAAAAAAAUUAUUGAAUGUCUUUCCCUGUUUUGAUGGAGCUGUAAUAGCAAGUCAAUCAGGGAAUGGCAAACAUAAUUUUUUUGAAAAAGACCUUUUUUUAAAUUAAACUUUUGUAUUCAUUUGUCUAAAAUUAUUUUUAUAAUAUAAAAACAACUUUUGACAAUGGAUCUCUUGGUUCUCGCAACGAUGAAGAACGCAGCAAAAUGCGAUAAGUAGUGUGAAUUGCAGAAUACGUGAAUCAUCGAAUCUUCGAACGCAUAUUGCACUUUUUUGGUUUACCAAAAAAGUAUGUCUGUUUGAGUAUCAGUAAAAUAUUCUCAUAAAAACUAUUUGUUUUUAUGGUUAUGGUGUUUUACAACGAUAAACAAGUUGUUUCACUUUAAAUUCUUUGUCUUGUAAAAAAUCAUUAAAAACUGAUUUUUUUUAAAAUUGGAUAAAAUUUUCCCGUAAAAGGAAUAACCUAAACAAUUUUAAAAAUUAAAUUGGUUUGAUUUUUCUUAGAAUCAACAAGGAAAAAAGUAAAAAUUAACUUGAUCUCAAAUCAGAUAAGAGUACCCGCUGAACUUAAGCAUAUCAAUAAGCGGAGGAAAAGAAACUAACUAGGAUUCCCUCAGUAACGGCGAGUGAAGCGGGAAGAGCUCAAAUUUGAAAUCUUCAAGGUUUUACCUUGACGAAUUGUAGUUUAAAGAAGUGUUUUCUGUUGGAGUUUUGGUAAAAGUUCUUUGGAAUAGGACAUCAUAGAGGGUGAGAAUCCCGUAUUUGACCAUUAUUUCCAACUUUGUGAUCACUUUCAAAGAGUCGGAUUGUUUGGGAAUGCAGUCCAAAAUGGGUGGUAAAUUUCAUCUAAAGCUAAAUACUGGCGAGAGACCGAUAGCGAACAAGUACCGUGAGGGAAAGAUGAAAAGAACUUUGAAAAGAGAGUUGAACAGUACGUGAAAUUGUCAAAAGGGAAGCGUUUGACACCAGUGUUGUUUUCUCGAAAAUCAAUUAAAAAUGGUGGGAUUUUGUGUUGUAUUGACUUUAUCAGCUUUCUGCACUUUUUUCCUAUCUUUUUUAAUGCACUUUUCGUUUAACAAGUCAACAUCAAUUUCUUUUGUUGUAAAAGGGUCAUUGGAAGGUGGCUUUCUUUUCGGAGAAAGUGUUUAUAGCCUUUGGCCUCUGCAAUCGGAGAGAUUGAGGUCUGCAGCGUAGAUCCUUCGGGUUAGAUACAUUUGUGCUAAGCUAUAGCCUUUCAUAGACAACUUGUUGACUAUGAUCAGUCAUGUAGCUUACUCGCUUAUGCUAUUU
This 1389-nucleotide unclassified non-coding RNA is filed under the name uncultured Neocallimastigales. Its description in RNAcentral is "partial contains small subunit ribosomal RNA, internal transcribed spacer 1, 5.8S ribosomal RNA, internal transcribed spacer 2, and large subunit ribosomal RNA". The stretch from base 634 to 1389 matches the Rfam family "Eukaryotic large subunit ribosomal RNA", at positions 1 to 617 of the family's 3401-position model. The record is from RNAcentral. Lineage: Eukaryota; Fungi; Neocallimastigomycota; Neocallimastigomycetes; Neocallimastigales.